GGGUUCGUAGCUCAGUUGGUAGAGCAGUUGACUCUUAAUCAAUUGGUCGGGAGUUCGAAUCUCCCCGAACCCA
This 73-nucleotide transfer RNA is filed under the name Elusimicrobiota bacterium. RNAcentral's name for it is "tRNA-Lys". It matches the Rfam family "tRNA". Rfam says of the family: Transfer RNA (tRNA) molecules are approximately 80 nucleotides in length. The record is from RNAcentral. Lineage: Bacteria; Pseudomonadati; Elusimicrobiota.